RNAcentral lists this long non-coding RNA (629 nucleotides) under Mytilus galloprovincialis (Mediterranean mussel). Lineage: Eukaryota; Metazoa; Mollusca; Bivalvia; Mytilida; Mytilidae. The record is from RNAcentral.
AUUCAUUCAUUUGCAUUCAAAGAAAUAAAUUUUCCCAAAACAACUGUCAACGUGAGUGAAAACGGCUAGGACGUAUUCAAUCCUCGACACAAAAAAAGAAGUUAAUACUAAUUUUUUUUUAAUUUGAUAUUCCUGUUAUAACUGUUAUAUAACCAUUUUCUCAUAUAAAUAUAAACAUAAAUCUUUCUUUACAGUGCUUUCUUUCACGUCCGCGAUAUGGUCUAUAAAUAGAAUUUGAAAAUGAAAGUACUAGUGCUAUUUUAAAACAAAUAAUUUAUAGUAAAAAUAAAUAUUGAAAAGCAAAAGAGUUUAAUUGCUUUCUGUGUGACAUGAAAUUUGUAAAAUAUAAUGUCGGAAAUUACUUCAGACGGGUAAGCAAGAGAAAGUGACAAUAAACUUGAACGAGAAUCGUAAUGACUAAAGGUGAUGGGGACCUUCCGCAUGAACAAACGGGAACUCCGAAGUAAAACUGUCUUUCAAAAUGAACGAAAAUUUAAAAGAAAUGAAUACACGUUGCUUUUCAGUCAAUUUGAAUUGAAUGGAACAUUGUGAAUUACAAGCUUCCAGCAUGAAAAAGCGGCAAGGGAAAAAUAUAGAUCCGCUGAUUGAAAAUUACGGCUUUACCGCCA